GAUGAACGCUAGCUACAGGCUUAACACAUGCAAGUCGAGGGGCAGCAUGACCUAGCAAUAGGUUGAUGGCGACCGGCGCACGGGUGAGUAACACGUAUCCAACUUGCCGAUUAUUCCGGGAUAGCCUUUCGAAAGAAAGAUUAAUACUGGAUAGCAUAACGAGAAGCCAUCUUCUUGUUAUUAAAGAAUUUCGAUAAUCGAUGGGGAUGCGUUCCAUUAGUUUGUUGGCGGGGUAACGGCCCACCAAGACAUCGAUGGAUAGGGGUUCUGAGAGGAAGGUCCCCCACAUUGGAACUGAGACACGGUCCAAACUCCUACGGGAGGCAGCAGUGAGGAAUAUUGGUCAAUGGACGAGAGUCUGAACCAGCCAAGUAGCGUGAAGGAUGACUGCCCUAUGGGUUGUAAACUUCUUUUAUAUGGGAAUAAAGUGGGCCACGUGUGGCUUUUUGUAUGUACCAUACGAAUAAGGAUCGGCUAACUCCGUG
RNAcentral lists this ribosomal RNA (485 nucleotides) under uncultured bacterium. RNAcentral's name for it is "partial 16S ribosomal RNA". It matches the Rfam family "Bacterial small subunit ribosomal RNA", at positions 28 to 507 of the family's 1533-position model. The record is from RNAcentral.